AUAUAUAAUAUUAUUAUAUAUAUUAUUAUAAUAUUAUUAUAAAUAAAUGGACAAUUUUUAUGAUGUAGGCCGAAAAUGAGUUUCCCCUCUUUGAAAGACCAGCAGCCGCCACUGAAAAAAUUGAAUAUACAUCCAC
Long non-coding RNA from Sander lucioperca (pikeperch), 136 nucleotides. RefSeq lists it as uncharacterized. The transcript has 3 exons. Lineage: Eukaryota; Metazoa; Chordata; Actinopteri; Perciformes; Percidae. The record is from RefSeq and is a predicted model, not a curated record.